This 253-nucleotide ribosomal RNA is filed under the name uncultured bacterium. RNAcentral's name for it is "partial 16S ribosomal RNA". It matches the Rfam family "Bacterial small subunit ribosomal RNA", at positions 524 to 776 of the family's 1533-position model. The record is from RNAcentral.
UACAGAGGGUGCAAGCGUUGUUCGGAAUUAUUGGGCAUAAAGCGCGUGUAGGCGGCUUUGCAAGUCGGGUGUGAAAGCCCUCAGCUCAACUGAGGAAGUGCGCCCGAAACUGCAGAGCUUGAGUGCCGGAGAGGGUGGCGGAAUUCCCCAAGUAGAGGUGAAAUUCGUAGAUAUGGGGAGGAACACCCGUGGCGAAAGCGGCUCUCUGGAACGGUACUGACGCUGAGACGCGAAAGCGUGGGGAGCGAACAGG